Molecule: ribosomal RNA, 253 nt
Filed under: uncultured bacterium
Lineage: Bacteria
Description: partial 16S ribosomal RNA
Rfam family: Bacterial small subunit ribosomal RNA
Source: RNAcentral
UACGUAGGGGGCAAGCGUUGUCCGGAAUCAUUGGGCGUAAAGAGCGUGUAGGCGGUCCGGUAAGUCCGCUGUGAAAGUCCAGGGCUCAACCCUGGAAUGCCGGUGGAUACUGUCGGGCUCGAGUCCGGAAGAGGCGAGUGGAAUUCCUGGUGUAGCGGUGAAAUGCGCAGAUAUCAGGAGGAACACCUAUUGCGAAGGCAGCUCGCUGGGACGUAACUGACGCUGAGACGCGAAAGCGUGGGGAGCAAACAGG